CAUGGGAGUGAUCUCUUUAAGCCACAAAGUCAAGAAAGGCUUCCCAGUAGAGGAGAUGGCCCUUGAGUGGGGCUUUGGGCUAAGGUGGAAAGAACAUUGUCUUUGGGGGCUGAGUUCCUGAAUUUCAAUACCACCUCUGUUACUUACUCUUUAUGUAAACUUAGGAUCUGUCACAGGACUUGAAUGAAAUCUUUCUGGUGCCCCAGGCCAGUCUUCUUUGUUUUGGAGGCAAAUAAGUGACAUGCCCAGGAUCCAUCAGCUGUUUAUGGGGGCUCAGCCCAAGAUCUGUGGCUUCCCAGAGAGAUGGCUGGAAUCUCGAUUCCAGGCAGGCGCCAGGUUGGGUUUUCUCUGACUAACCUUGUGAUCAAAUUCUCAGCCUCCCUCUCGGCAGGCACACAAGUCUUCAAAAAGGAAGCCCAGGGUCCACACACUCUGCCUCCUGGGCCGAGGCAAAUGGCGCCCAUACGUGGGGCCCGGAAGAUUUUGGAGAAAGGAGUAGCAUUGCUAGAUCGAACCUCUCAAUAAGAAGACUAGGCAGUCCCGGAGAAUUUAGAGAAUAAGGUCGCCACGGGUCCACCUGCCCCGAGGAACAGAGACCUGGUUGUGGUAUUGGCUUGCUUUUGGAACCUUGAUCAGCUUUGGCAUACCCAGUCUGCAUAGAAUGAGAGCCUCCUAUCACUUCACAGCCUGAAGCAGUAGUUUUUAAAAUGAGACCAUGGACUGGACCCUGCAUCUACUGUACUUUGGACUGAUGAGGGACUUUGGGAAUGUUUGAUGACUGACUGUUGAAUCUUUCCUGGAUCACUCUGUGUUUAAGAUUUGGGAUGGGAUUUGUUAAAACUGUAAUUAUUGCUGUUAUGUUUGAGGGAUUUUUAGGAAAUGCCACUGUACUAGUCUGUUAUGUAUAGGGAUUUUAAUUCACUCUUGGGAUUUAUAUGGGGAAUAGUCAUUUGAUAAUUCCUUACCAUGAGGAAAAAGGGAGGAAGGGAUAGAGUAUUUGGAAAGAUUUGGUAGAUUUUUUUCAAAAUACCUGAAAUAGUGGGAACCCCUAUUCAAUUUGCCUUAGUUCAGAUUGAAUUUGAAUGCUUUAGCUUAGAAUCCCUUAGCUUUAGAAUCCCUUAUUUUUGUUAAAAUUGCCCUGGCAGACUCAGUUUUUUUAAGCUUUAGAAUUCAUUAAUUAGUACUUCAGAAGCUCAAAGGGCCUUUACACUAUCACCGCCUUGAGACUGGUGAUGAUCCCCUUGAUGCUCAUAUGAGCAAUAAGAAAUUUUCGACCUGGUUAGUCAAUGGCAGGUAAGAUUACUCAAGGACUAGCCGACCUAAGCCAGGAAGAGACGUUUCUGCACAUCCUUCCUAUGACGGGUAAGGCUUUUCCCCAUAGGAACAACCUAAGCCAGGCACAGGUCGAGAAAUGAAAAAAUUCUACAUUUGAUUCUUUUAAUAUAAAUGAAAACCUGUGGGUUAAAUGAGACCUGUGGGUAGCCGGCACUAAUCUACAGCCACAUACUCUGCCUCGGUGGCUGAGGCAAUAUAGUAUUGUUGUAUAUAAUGAUCUCCUGGUCCUGCUCAUUUCACUCGGCAUCAGUUCGUGUAAGUCUCUCCAGGCCUUUCUGAAAUCAUCCUGUUGGUCAUUUCUUACAGAACAAUAAUAUUCCAUAAUAUUCAUAUACCACAAUAUUCAGCCAUUCUCCAUCCAUUCAGUUUCCAAUUUCUAGCCACUACAAAGAGGGCUGCCACAAACAUUCUUGCAAAUUACUCUCCAGAAUGGUUGGAUUCGUUCACAACUCCACCAACAAUGCAUCAAUGUCCCAGUUUUCCCGCAUCCCCUCCAACAAUCAUUAUUUUUUCCUGUCAUCUUAGCCAAUCUGACAGGUAUGUAGUGGUAUCUUAGAGUUGUCUUAAUUUGCAUUUCUCUGAUUAAUAAUGAUUUGGAGCAUCUUUUCAUAUGACUAGAAAUAGUUUCAAUUUCUUCAUCUGAGAAUUGUCUGUUAAUAUCCUUUGACCAUUUUUCAAUUGGAGAAUGGUGGACUAACUGCUGAUACUCACCUACCUCUUAAUUGAACAGGGAUUUGCUAUACUGGACUAUUAAGGCCAAAAUUUUUCUUUCUUCCUGAAUAGGCAAACCAAUAUUUAGGGAUUCAGUUGUAUGAUGAUUUUGGGAAGAGAGAAAUGGGGUUUAGAUACCUCUAUUACUCAGACUGGAGAUGUAAAUGGUGGGGUGAUGCCUGGCCUCCAACCACCUGGGCUCAAGAUGGAAGUUGGGGAUAUAGAACCCUAAUAUUUAUGUUGAACAGAAUAAUUAAGCUUCAAGCAGUUGUAGAGAUUAUGGCUGAGGCACUAGAUCUUUUGGCUGACCAAGCUAUUCAAAUCAGAGAGAGUUCUGCUGGAUUAUUUGUUGGUCAAGUAAGGGGGAGUUUGUGUGAAACUAAAUGUGUAUAUUUGUUGUAUAAAGAUUGAUGACGAUGGAAAUCUAGUAAAAGAAGUCACUAAGAACAUUAGGAAACUUGCUCAUGUUCCUGUAUGGACCUGUACCUCACUGUUAAAUAUUUCCUGGUGGUCCUGGCUUGGGGAAAGCUAGUGGGAGCAGCUCCUUUGGUUUGACCUUAUAGCUCUUAGUAGUGUCCCUAUAGUAGUCCCUAUCUGCAUACCUUGUUUGAUCCGACUGAUAACCAGAAUAGUCCAAAACUCUUUAUCUAGAAUGAUUAGGUUGGAAGAGAAAGCUGAAGGGUCUGUUAGAUUGAUGGUGUUAAAAGGAUGGGAGCCAAUGGUCCAAGAGGACCAAAUAGGAGCCAGAGGAGGAUGAGGGAUUAGAUAGGGAAUGUGAAGUUAGGCUACCAGAAUUUGAAGAGAUCUCAGUGUACAAAUAAGAGGGGGGACUGAAAGAGAUGAGGUGAGAUCUUUCAAGACAGUUGUGAAAAUAGAGUAAGGCUUCAUCUAUUUCAAAGUUUGAGUAGGCCUGAAGGACUUUAAGCAUCAAGUCAAGGGCAUACUUGUCCCCUCCCUGCUACCUCCUAAGGGCAUACUUAAGUCCCCUUGUUAUCCUCCUAUGACAUCAGUGGUCAAGUUCAAUUUCUUGGGUAGUUCCCGAGUUUAGAAUGUAAGAUCCUCAGCCAAUGAGGAUGAGGGUCAGUGGUGGGAGGGGGUAUUUGCGUUAGAGAUAAAAAAUGUUGACCUUUCCCCCUAAGGUGCUUCCUCCUUUGGAUUGUCUGCUCGAUGGGUGGGACGUCUGAUUCUCAGGAGAUUGUAUAAUAAACUUUGCUUUGCUUCUAGAUAUCUCUCCAGCUUUUUUUAAUUAAAUGCUCUCUGAACCACAGGACUUAAAUGAAAUCUGAUGCCCCAGGCCAGUCUUGUUUUGGAAGCAAAUGGGGUUAAGUGAUAUGCCCAGGGUCCACACAGCUAUAAACUUUCCUAACUCUCCUGGCUGCCCCAUCCAAUACCAGCUGUCUACUCACUCCCCCUGCAAUGCCUUUCUUCCUUCUCUGUGGACAACUCGGGACUGGACAGGAGAAAUGUCUCCUUCCAUAUAGCCCCUUUCUGCUUCCCUCCUUAGGAAUUAAUAGGAACUAGCCCUGAAAAGGCCAUUGGAGAGAAUCAAGCUCCCACCAUGAUGGCUGGGUCCAGAGCUGAGCAGGAGCUGGAGCUGCCCUGGGCAGUUGCUGUGACCUCUUUCACCUCCUCCUGGAAGUCCCAAGCAGUCAUUAUGAAAGAGCUAGAUUCCUUCUGAUUUGCCCAGCAGCUGUGAAUUAGAAUGAUGUACACUGCCAAGAAAUGUGGAAUUAGAUUCCAACCUCCAGCCAUUAUCUUGAUCUAUCAAGGAGAGGCCCAGGACAAAAUUGCUAGCAAAACCCAUUAAUCUGAAACUUCUCCAAGUUUUCAGACUGCAGUAGAAAGGCUGAACACCUAAAGUAAAUCAAGAAACAAG
This is a long non-coding RNA of Sarcophilus harrisii (Tasmanian devil), 3922 nucleotides long. The record is from Ensembl. Lineage: Eukaryota; Metazoa; Chordata; Mammalia; Dasyuromorphia; Dasyuridae.